UACUGUUGUGAGUGUGGGUGUGUUUGGAGGAGUUUAGUCUACUGUUGUGAGUGUGAGUGUCUGGAGGAGUCAAGUCUUCUGCUGUUGUUGGAAAGUGGCCCGUGUACACCGAGUGGAGAUUAACUCCCAACUGUGCCUGCCACGGGUCGAUAUUCCCCUCAUUUGUAUUUGUCGCUCUCCGUCGCGCCGACUGAGAGGAGGUGGUGGUGGUGGUGGGACAGACAGUCGCCCGUUAUUAUUGCGUGCUCCCCCGGCGCACCACACAGGGACAGGCCGUUCACUGGCAUGUUUUUAUUAUACUAAUAUUCAUCUCGAUACAUCUUUCUCUGAAGAGUAGAUCCAGUAAGUAGCUGAGACAGAAACCACAAGCUGUGCUGUCAUAAAACAGAACAGACGGACAGAGAAAAACAAAACCAAAAUAAAAAACCACACAGCGCACGGAUGGUCUGUUGUUCUUAUCAGCUCUUUCCUUCCCCGGCCGCCUAGUGUGUGAACAUAAUGCUGUAGACCUAUAAUAACUCUACAACAGAGCGCACUCAAGAACUCUGGAGUUCUUCCAUUUAUUAUUUCGAAGGAGAUGUAAAAUAUAGGUCACACUUUGUGUGUGCGCGCGAGAGUCUUCUGCGUGUGUCUGCGUGUGUGUGUCUUGAACUGCAUGUGCCAGGCUUAGAGGAUGAAAAGGAAAGUGAGUACAGCAUUAAGCCAGGCAUGGGAUUAUUGUGGAAUCAUGAGAGAAAAUCCUUACCACCAAAGCGAUCGCCCAAAGUUCCCUACUUCGCCCUCGAGGUAUCAGACAGCAAGGCCUCGGUCGCCAGCAAAGAUGAGGAACGUAACCAAGGACCCAGGCUUCGCUUGGCCGCUCUCGUGGUAUCUUGGAUCUCAGUGGUCUUUUCUUUCAGCUCAGGAGUGGCCGCCAUUGAGCCUGUAUAGUGAUAUCAUUUUUCUUCUUUGCUUCUGCUACUUCGUUAAUCUACAAAUCUUCCAAAGCCAUAUCAAAAGGAGAGCGAGAUGAGGAGAAAGGAAGAUUGUUAACAGACAUAUUUUCUUCCUGUUGCGGAGUUAUCGCCCUUGUCCUAGCCACCUCCAAAGUGUACUUAGGGCGCCGUCUGGACAGUCGGUCACUGCUUACAGACAGUAUUAUCACCUAUGUUGGUGCGGCGAUGAGCUUUUUGGGGGUGCUAGGUUUGGAACUGUACAGAGAGGAUGAGCAAGUGUGGUACCUGGAUGCAGCGUUUGGACUCGCGUGUGGGAUCUUCCUGCUUUUAUUUGGCCUUAAGCUACUUACUCAGAUGACGUGCCUAUACAAGAAACAUCAGCCUAUGGAAGACGAUGACGACGAAGAAGUAGAAUGACCACCACAGCAGUGUCUUUUGUGCUUUCACAUUGUUGAUUUACCUGCUUCAGUCACGUGGUGCCUCGAGGAUGUGUUGAAUAUCCAAGCCAUGAACAUGGUGACUAUCGUAAUAGUCCCGAAAUAUUUCAGGAGAAUGUGUAAACAACAACAAAUGCUUAAAUCAAUAACUGGGUGCAAAAUUCUGACAAACGCCAAAUUGAAAAAUGGCUUUUGUCGGCGUCUUGUGUCCUACCUUCAAAAUGGAUGCGUUUCUUGAGGACGUGUUAUGGAUAAUAUGAUUAUUAUGUUCAAGUGACACUUAUAGGCAGAGAGGAUUUACAUAUGUACAUAAUAAUCUAUUUUUAUUGUAAUAUUUGAGCUCUGUACUACUGUGGAAAAAUGGCGCUGGAUAAUAUUGGUUACUUACAAAACUGUCAUGUUUUGAUAUGGUGGACCAAAGCUGAUCAGAGUUUGAGCAUUUUCCUCAAUUACAUUCUGAUUUAAUUAACGCCAAAGACAACCAUUCCAAGAAUAAAACAAAGGAAAAAAUAUCAGGAAAUAAACCAAAGACCAUACUCAAGUGUGCACACUUUAUUCGCUACUUAAGAAUUACAAAGUUCUAAAUUUUUAUCUGAAAUUCCUCGGACGUUUUGAGUUACUAAGAGCAUGGAUGAGAUCAGAAACCAAACAUUCUGUCUGAUCUAUCAAAAUCGUAAGAAUAAUAUUUCGGAAUAGUUUUCAAGAUACACAAGUAAUUGCAUUCGAGGAAGCUCGACGUGCUGUGAAACUCGAAUUAUUUUUCGUCCGAUUUCUCAAAACUAGGUGCUAAGCAGAUAACACUUUGUAAUUCUACGAUAGCGCAUUGUCAUUAGCCUGUGCACCGUUAGCUUGCUUGAUAUCACACUGAACUACGGAGCGCAUGGCCCUCAGUGGAGUCCUUAAUAGUAAUGGAGCGACCUGGAUUCGGAUUAUUUGGGGGAGUUUUUGAAGCUCUCCACUCAUUCAUUGGCUCCGUCUUUUCGAAGAUUUUAGUUUUUUUUAGUUUAGUGAGAGUUUAACGGCAUUUGCAACACAAUAAGGUCAUAUAAGUGCCGAAGAUGGGCGCUACAUUUGGUGAUUCCCUUUUUAAAAUAAUCUUACAGUGUCAUAAGGGGAGAUAAACCUUUAUAAUGACCAAAGACCUAGAAGACAAUAAGUGAAUUAUUCAAAGUAUGGUCUUAUACCUGUCGUGAUCUGCAUUUGGAUACAGGCUUUGUAUUUCGUCCGCCAGCUGUUCAGAUGUACUAGACCACGAAUUUUUACUGUUUUUUUUUUUCAAUUGCAGUUUCUUAAUCUGUUUAGUUUAGUUUAGGUACGAAUUUUACGGAACUUGCAACUCAAUUAGGUCACAAUAGUAGAAGUGCCGAGGGUUAGAAGUGUACAAGAGAGUAGCAAACACAAAGAGUAGGGAGGAGAGAUAAGGAAAUGGGUGCUAGGAAAUAAGGAGCAAACCACACCAGAGCUCCUGCCAACCACCUACUCGUAAUCUGUGGUAUGAUUUGCAUGUGUUCUAGAACAUGAAUGUUGUCAAAAUUCUCAAUUCUAAAUGUUGAUAAAUAGAAGGAAAAGGCACAUCAUGUUGAUAAUAUACAUUCUCUCUCUCUCCUAAAGAAUUUGCAUUGUGGACUAAAGCUUUUGAACAGCUUGCAAAAGAUUAACGUUUCUUGUCGCUCUUUCAUAGAUCCCCCUUUGGGUAAAUUGGAGUUGAUCAAAGUGUUCCACUCUGAUAUAAAGAGAUGAACAGCUUUUCUAAAAGUUGUUUUAAUUUUCGACUUCUUCGUCUUUGACUGUCCAUCGACACAGAUGAAGACUGCAAAUGUGCUUUAAACCAGACAAGAACAUUAGAAUUUAUAGGCCACAAGGCCUGCUUUGGAUCUACACAAUCUUCACAUUUUUAGACUCUGGAAGUCUGAUUGUGAGGGUUUACAAUGUCUGGUGUUGUGAGAGUUAUAUUUGUUUCGUUCAGUCAUAAUAAAUCCUUUUCAUAUCAGGAUGUCUGAGUGCAAGAAGUGACUAGAUCUAUAUCCACUUUUCAACAGUUUCGAGAAAAACGAGUUUGAAAAUUUGACGAGAAUGAAAUCUCUAUGACAUAAUCAAAAAAA
This is a long non-coding RNA of Aplysia californica (California sea hare), 3474 nucleotides long. RefSeq annotates it as transmembrane protein 163. The record is from RefSeq and is a predicted model, not a curated record. Lineage: Eukaryota; Metazoa; Mollusca; Gastropoda; Aplysiida; Aplysiidae.